AUGUUUGAUACUGAGCGUGAGGUUUCAAACCGAAUAAAUGUUGCUUCGUCUUCACGCUCUGCUUCGUCUUCGAGCUCUUCAUUCCAAGCUAACGAAGACAUUGUUCAGUCGCUCAUACAAAUGUUGAACACACAUAACCCCAUUGUCGAGCUGUUUAGGACAGCAAGUCAAAGAUUAGCUGGGAGUGAUUGUGACCAUUUAACAAUCAGGAUAUAUGGCAAACCUGAUGCCCAUGGAGACAUCUAUAGUGCUCCAGUUGCGUCUGAGGUUGUUGGAUUAGUGGUUGGUGAUAUUGGGUCAUCUAAUGUAGGAUGA
Molecule: ribosomal RNA, 315 nt
Filed under: Triticum aestivum (bread wheat)
Lineage: Eukaryota; Viridiplantae; Streptophyta; Magnoliopsida; Poales; Poaceae
Description: partial small subunit ribosomal RNA
Source: RNAcentral